AGAGAAUAACUCAUCGGUCAAAGUUAGCACGGAGUUAUUUCCCUUUCCUUCCUGACCCAACAUGGCUGCCUCGAGUACACAUGGAUCGUUUUCCAAGAGAAGAAAGAGAGAAAGUCACAACAAGAAGAACGUAAGAAGACAAAAAUAUACUCGGGAAGUUAUGGUAAGUAAACUGAUUUGCAUUGAAUGAAGUAAAACUCAAGUGGAUCCAAAUGUGUCUUCACUUGUUUUCAAAAGUCUGAGGUAUGAACAUAUUUGCUUGUUAGAGUGGUUGACUUCUUUUUACAUUUUCUUUAAAGAGAUGACACGCUAUGGCGACCCCUAACGGGACAAGCCGAAAGGAAAAGAAAAAGAAGAAGAAUGACACACCGCAACACCAUAAGGAGACCUAGUUUUCCUCGCCGCUCCACCCCGAAAUGUGCUCAGGAAUAUUCAAUGACAUUCCCACCAGGAAGACAACAGGAAGCGAGGAGGUUCAGGGAGGGCGCGAAGACGUGAUCGAAGUGGCGUCUGGGGCUGCAAAGCGAGGUCCGGGCGUCGCCACCCGCGUUUGAUCUGACGGGAGUCAAGGCUCCAGCACUCCCCACAACCCUCGUGAGGAUAAGCGGCAAAGAAAAUGGAUGGAUGGAUGGAAGUGGCUCCAUACUGGACAGCUGGAGAAGCAAAUCAAACGCACCUUUGCUAGUAGAGGCAAAAGACGUUAUCCUCACAGGUGAGCUAAUCCAUACUGUAGCCAUAAUCCUCCCCCACACAUUAUUUUAUGCCUGGGGCUCCGUACAUUAGUUACUAUAUGGACAUUGAGUUUUCAAGUUGUUUGUUUUUUUCUUGAGUACCACCACAAUAGAUUCUCAAUAAAAUGAUCAGCGUGUGAUUUCAGCGUAGACUUUAUAACUUUGGCACUCCUGUUCGUCAAUUAGAGCCUUUGUGUGCAUAGUAACUUCAUUUUCUCAGGCUCAAAAGUAAGAGGUUAAGCGGUGGUCCGGUCCUUUGUUACUUCGAGACAAAUGAAGGUAAUAUCGGGUAUUGAGUUGGGAUUUGGCCGCUGUUCGACUGAAGCUCCCGAUAUGAAGUCCAGGGAGAUCUCGGUGCAAGUGCAGUAGAACAGGAUAAAUCUGUAAACUAGAUGGGGAAGAAAAACAAGAGAUGUGACCAAAUUAACAGAAAGAGGCAAAGUACUGGUGAGCUCAACAGCGAAAGAAGGUGUGGAAACCCACUCACGUCUGGAACUUUAACGUGUCUGUCAAACUCGAGGCUCAUGGGCCAGAUAUGGCCUUCUGUGUCAUUUAUUGUGGGACGCCAAAGGUUGCCACAAAUGUUACUUGACUUGUGUUCAAAACUAGCUAUCCGUCAUUAAAAUAAUUACAAAUGCAGGGGCGAUCACAUCGGAUGUUGGGGCAAUUAUUAAGGUUCCCACAAAGAACCAAUCAGACAACAAGUGGAAUGAACACACAGUGUUGUUGCGCUUGUCGGCAUUGUUUGUUUUCUAAAAAGAACACAAUCUAAUGAUGUUGCACUUUCCUUAAAAAAUACAAAAGAUUUAAAGAUGUGGCUUUUUCGUUUUCAGUGAUAUAAGCUCCUGUCUUCACAAAAGG
Molecule: long non-coding RNA, 1592 nt
Organism: Syngnathoides biaculeatus (alligator pipefish)
Lineage: Eukaryota; Metazoa; Chordata; Actinopteri; Syngnathiformes; Syngnathidae
Exons: 5
Source: RefSeq, a predicted model, not a curated record